RNAcentral lists this ribosomal RNA (548 nucleotides) under uncultured bacterium. RNAcentral describes it as "bacterial SSU rRNA". It matches the Rfam family "Bacterial small subunit ribosomal RNA", at positions 258 to 795 of the family's 1533-position model. The record is from RNAcentral.
AACGGGCCUACCAAGGCUAUGAUGGGUAGCCGGCCUUAGCGGGUGUCCGGCCACACUGGGACUGAGAUACGGCCCAGACUCCUACGGGAGGCGGCAGUCGAGAGGCUUCUACAAUGGGGGAAACCCUGAUAGAGCGACGCCGCGUGGGUGAUGAAGGCCUUCGGAUCGUAAAGCCCUUUCAGUAGGGAAGAAGGAUUCUUGUGCUAAUACCACAAGUUUCAAGACGGUACCUACAGAAGAAGCUCCGGCUAACUCCGUGCCAGCAGCCGCGGUAAGACGGAGGGAGCAAGCGUUGUUCGGAUUUACUGGGCGUAAAGGGCGUCUAGGCGGGCCAGCAAGUCAGAUGUGAAAUCCCCCGGCUCAACCGGGGAGCUGCAUUUGAUACUGCUAGUCUUGAGUACGGAAGAGGGAGGCGGAAUUCCUGGUGUAGCGGUGAAAUGCGUAGAUAUCAGGAAGAACACCGGUGGCGAAGGCGGCCUCCUGGUCCGAUACUGACGCUAAAGCGCGAAAGUGUGGGGAGCAAACAGGAUUAGAUACCCUGGGUAGUC